Molecule: ribosomal RNA, 200 nt
Filed under: uncultured bacterium
Lineage: Bacteria
Description: partial 16S ribosomal RNA
Rfam family: Bacterial small subunit ribosomal RNA
Source: RNAcentral
GAUGAACGCUAGCGGCAGGCCUAAUACAUGCAAGUCGAACGGAUCUGGAGACUUCGGUUUCCAGAUUAGUGGCGCACGGGUGCGUAACGCGUAUGCAACCUACCUUUUAUUGGGGGAUAGCCCGUCGAAAGACGGAUUAAUACCGCAUAACACUAUUUGAGGGCAUCUGAGGAUAGUUAAAGCUGAAGCGAUAAAAGAUG